RNAcentral lists this ribosomal RNA (2858 nucleotides) under Thiomicrospira pelophila DSM 1534. Its description in RNAcentral is "bacterial LSU rRNA". It matches the Rfam family "Bacterial large subunit ribosomal RNA". Lineage: Bacteria; Pseudomonadati; Pseudomonadota; Gammaproteobacteria; Thiotrichales; Piscirickettsiaceae. The record is from RNAcentral.
UUAAGUGAUUAAGCGUACACGGUGGAUGCCUAGGCGGUAGAAGGCGAUGAAAGACGUGAUAGCCUGCGAUAAGCUUCGGUGAGGUGGCAAAUAACCUUUGACCCGGAGAUUUCUGAAUGGGAAAACCCAUCCUUUCGAGGAUAUCCCUAUAUGGGAGGCUAACCCGGGGAACUGAAACAUCUAAGUACCCGGAGGAAAAGAAAUCAACCGAGAUUCCCUAAGUAGCGGCGAGCGAACGGGGACCAGCCCUUAAGCAAUAAUAAAGUUAGUAGAACAGUCUGGAAAGUCUGACGAUACAGGGUGAUAGUCCCGUAUAUCAAAACUUUUUUAUUGUGAAAUCGAGUAGGACGGAACACGUGAAAUUCUGUUUGAACACGGGGGGACCACCCUCCAAGGCUAAAUACUCUCUACCGACCGAUAGUGAACCAGUACCGUGAGGGAAAGGCGAAAAGAACCCCAGAAGGGGAGUGAAAUAGAACCUGAAACCGUGUACGUACAAGCAGUGGGAGCAGACUUGUUCUGUGACUGCGUACCUUUUGUAUAAUGGGUCAGCGACUUACUGUGUGUUGCGAGGUUAACCGAAUAGGGGAGCCGUAGGGAAACCGAGUCUUAAAUGGGCGUUUAGUAGCAUGCAGUAGACCCGAAACCGGGCGAUCUAUCCAUGGCCAGGAUGAAGGUUGAGUAACAUCAACUGGAGGUCCGAACCCACUAAUGUUGAAAAAUUAGGGGAUGAGCUGUGGAUCGGAGUGAAAGGCUAAUCAAGCUCGGAGAUAGCUGGUUCUCCCCGAAAACUAUUUAGGUAGUGCCUCAUGUCUCACUCUUGGGGGUAGAGCACUGUUAUGGUCUAGCGGGCCGUCAAGGCUUAGCAGCCCAUUGCAAACUCCGAAUACCAAGAAGUGCAAUCAUGGGAGACAGACAGCGGGUGCUAACGUCCGUUGUCAAGAGGGAAACAACCCAGACCGCCAAUUAAGGUCCCUAAACUAUGCUCAGUGGGAAAGGAUGUGGGAAGGCUUAGACAGUCAGGAGGUUGGCUUAGAAGCAGCCAUCCUUUAAAGAAAGCGUAAUAGCUCACUGAUCGAGUCGGCCUGCGCCGAAGAUUUAACGGGGCUAAGCAUAGUACCGAAAUUGCGGAUGUUUUUAACAUGGUAGGGGAGCGUUCUGUAAGCCUGCGAAGGUGUGCUGUAAGGCAUGCUGGAGGUAUCAGAAGUGCGUAUGCUGACAUAAGUAGCGAUAAAGGGAGUGAAAAGCUCCCUCGCCGAAAGCCCAAGGUUUCCUACGCAACGUUAAUCGACGUAGGGUUAGUCGGCUCCUAAGGCGAGGCCGAAAGGCGUAGUCGAUGGGAAACAGGUUAAUAUUCCUGUACUUUUUAUUACUGCGAUGGAGGGACGGAGAAGGCUAGGCCAGCUUGGCGAUGGUUGUCCAAGUUUAAGGUGGUAGGCAGAAGACUUAGGUAAAUCCGGGUCUUUAAUGCCGAGAACUGAUGACGAGUCCAAUAGGACGAAGUGGUUGAUGCCAUGCUUCCAAGAAAAUCUUCUAAGCUUCAGGUAAUAAGAAACCGUACCCCAAACCGACACAGGUGGGCAGGAUGAGAAUUCCAAGGCGCUUGAGAGAACUCGGGUGAAGGAACUAGGCAAAAUAACACCGUAACUUCGGGAGAAGGUGUGCCCUUGAUGGUGAAGGACUUGCUCCGUAAGCUAUUGAGGGUUGCAGAGACCAGGUGGCUGCGACUGUUUAUUAAAAACACAGCACUGUGCAAAAUCGAAAGAUGACGUAUACGGUGUGACGCCUGCCCGGUGCCGGAAGGUUAAUUGAUGGGGUUAGCGUAAGCGAAGCUCUUGAUCGAAGCCCCGGUAAACGGCGGCCGUAACUAUAACGGUCCUAAGGUAGCGAAAUUCCUUGUCGGGUAAGUUCCGACCUGCACGAAUGGCGUAACGAUGGCCACACUGUCUCCACCCGAGACUCAGCGAAAUUGAAAUCGCGGUCAAGAUGCCGUGUACCCGCGGCUAGACGGAAAGACCCCGUGAACCUUUACUACAGCUUUGCACUGGACUUUGAUACUAUCUGUGUAGGAUAGGUGGGAGGCUUUGAAACCCGGACGCUAGUUCGGGUGGAGCCAUCCUUGAAAUACCACCCUGAUAUUAUUGAGGUUCUAACCUCGGUCAGUGAAUCCUGGCCAGGGACAGUGUAUGGUGGGUAGUUUGACUGGGGCGGUCUCCUCCUAAAGAGUAACGGAGGAGCGCGAAGGUACCCUCAGCACGGUCGGACAUCGUGCAAUGAGCGCAAGAGUAAAAGGGUGCUUGACUGCGAGACUGACACGUCGAGCAGGUGCGAAAGCAGGUUCUAGUGAUCCGGUGGUUCUGUGUGGAAGGGCCAUCGCUCAACGGAUAAAAGGUACUCCGGGGAUAACAGGCUGAUACCGCCCAAGAGUUCAUAUCGACGGCGGUGUUUGGCACCUCGAUGUCGGCUCAUCACAUCCUGGGGCUGAAGUCGGUCCCAAGGGUAUGGCUGUUCGCCAUUUAAAGUGGUACGCGAGCUGGGUUUAGAACGUCGUGAGACAGUUCGGUCCCUAUCUGCCGUGGGCGUUGGAGAAUUGAGGGGGGCUGCUCCUAGUACGAGAGGACCGGAGUGGACGAACCGCUGGUGUUCCAGUUGUCAUGCCAAUGGCACUGCUGGGUAGCUACGUUCGGAAAAGAUAACCGCUGAAAGCAUCUAAGCGGGAAACUUGCCCCAAGAUGAGUUCUCCCUAGACUAUAAGUCUUCUAAAGAGCCGUUCAAGACCAGGACGUUGAUAGGCAAGGUGUGGAAGCGCAGUAAUGUGUGAAGCUAACUUGUACUAAUUACUCGUGAGGCUUAACUAU